CCCAGCCCCUCUGCACUCCUGCCUGGACAAUUCAUUCCAGCAAACACCUUGAGAGGGUUUAUUGGCUCCACACCAGCUCCAAGCACAUUUAUUUGCUGCCUCUUGAUUCUGAGUGAAGAGUAGAUGGAUUGAAUUCACUGAAGGCGCUGCUGCUGAGCCUUUAUCAAGUGCCAAAUCAUUUUUAGGGCAGAAUAAUUUCUUUUUAAGUGUGUCAAAACCACUUCAGACAUGUCUGUUAUGGCCACACUCUUCAUAUUUAUCCAUUUCAUGCUCUGAGAGUCAUGUGUUCUACACAUGUUAGAAGAAAUCACUGUGGGGCUACAGGAAAAUUCAGGUACUUCACAAUUAAAACAU
RNAcentral lists this long non-coding RNA (354 nucleotides) under Cyanistes caeruleus (blue tit). Its description in RNAcentral is "lncRNA (ENSCCEG00000004382.1)". The record is from RNAcentral. Lineage: Eukaryota; Metazoa; Chordata; Aves; Passeriformes; Paridae.